GUCGUCAGCUCGUGUCGUGAGAUGUUGGGUUAAGUCCCGCAACGAGCGCAACCCCUAUUGUUAGUUGCCAUCAUUCAGUUGGGCACUCUAGCGAGACUGCCGGUAAUAAACCGGAGGAAGGUGGGGAUGACGUCAAUCAUCAUGCCCCUUAUGACCUGGGCUACACACGUGCUACAAUGGUUGGUACAACGAGUUGCGAGUCGGUGACGGCGAGCUAAUCUCUUAAAGCCAAUCUCAGUUCGGAUUGUAGGCUGCAACUCGCCUACAUGAAGUCGGAAUCGCUAGUAAUCGCGGAUCAGCACGCCGCGGUGAAUACGUUCCCGGGCCUU
RNAcentral lists this ribosomal RNA (329 nucleotides) under uncultured Streptococcus sp. RNAcentral's name for it is "bacterial SSU rRNA". It matches the Rfam family "Bacterial small subunit ribosomal RNA", at positions 1051 to 1382 of the family's 1533-position model. The record is from RNAcentral. Lineage: Bacteria; Bacillati; Bacillota; Bacilli; Lactobacillales; Streptococcaceae.